GAUGAACGCUGGCGGCGUGCCUAAUACAUGCAAGUCGAGCGAACAGAUGAGGAGCUUGCUCCUCUGACGUUAGCGGCGGACGGGUGAGUAACACGUGGAUAACCUACCUAUAAGACUGGGAUAACUUCGGGAAACCGGAGCUAAUACCGGAUAAUAUAUUGAACCGCAUGGUUCAAUAGUUAAAGACGGUUUUGCUGUCACUUAUAGAUGGAUCCGCGCCGCAUUAGCUAGUUGGUAAGGUAACGGCUUACCAAGGCAACGAUGCGUAGCCGACCUGAGAGGGGGAUCGGCCACACUGGAACUGAGACACGGUCCAGACUCCUACGGGAGGCAGCAGUAGGGAAUCUUCCGCAAUGGGCGUAAGCCUGACGGAGCAACGCCGCGUGAGUGAUGAAGGUCUGCGGAUCGUAAAACUCUGUUAUUAGGGAAGAACAAAUGUGUAAGUAACUAUGCACGUCUGGACGGUACCUAAUCAGAAAGCCACGGCUAACUACGU
RNAcentral lists this ribosomal RNA (496 nucleotides) under uncultured bacterium. RNAcentral's name for it is "partial 16S ribosomal RNA". It matches the Rfam family "Bacterial small subunit ribosomal RNA", at positions 28 to 506 of the family's 1533-position model. The record is from RNAcentral.